RNAcentral lists this ribosomal RNA (450 nucleotides) under uncultured bacterium. RNAcentral's name for it is "partial 16S ribosomal RNA". It matches the Rfam family "Bacterial small subunit ribosomal RNA", at positions 354 to 796 of the family's 1533-position model. The record is from RNAcentral.
GUGGGGAAUAUUGGACAAUGGGCGAAAGCCUGAUCCAGCCAUGCCGCGUGUGUGAAGAAGGUCUUCGGAUUGUAAAGCACUUUAAGUUGGGAGGAAGGGCAGUAAGUUAAUACCUUGCUGUUUUGACGUUACCGACAGAAUAAGCACCGGCUAACUUCGUGCCAGCAGCCGCGGUAAUACGAAGGGUGCAAGCGUUAAUCGGAAUUACUGGGCGUAAAGCGCGCGUAGGUGGUUCGUUAAGUUGGAUGUGAAAGCCCCGGGCUCAACCUGGGAACUGCAUCCAAAACUGGCGAGCUAGAGUACGGUAGAGGGUGGUGGAAUUUCCUGUGUAGCGGUGAAAUGCGUAGAUAUAGGAAGGAACACCAGUGGCGAAGGCGACCACCUGGACUGAUACUGACACUGAGGUGCGAAAGCGUGGGGAGCAAACAGGAUUAGAAACCCCAGUAGUCC